This 29-nucleotide small RNA is filed under the name Bombyx mori (domestic silkworm). RNAcentral describes it as "ovarian small RNA-31124". The record is from RNAcentral. Lineage: Eukaryota; Metazoa; Arthropoda; Insecta; Lepidoptera; Bombycidae.
UGAAUCCUAUGCUGAGGAUCAUGGCCUAU